Molecule: long non-coding RNA, 323 nt
Filed under: Olea europaea (common olive)
Lineage: Eukaryota; Viridiplantae; Streptophyta; Magnoliopsida; Lamiales; Oleaceae
Description: long non-coding RNA (OEUR_LNC011310)
Source: RNAcentral
UAUCUCGAAUAUUCAGCAUAUGCCCUGAAAAGGAUUUCACAUACUCCCUGAUAGAGCUCGUGUGUUUCAGGUCUCGAAGAGCCCGUCGAGCCUGAUACUCGACAUUUUCCGGGAAAAACUGCGAUCUGAUCGCUUCCUUUAGGAGAUCCCAAGAAUCAAUUCGAAUCCUGUGGGCCUGAAUGUCCGCAUAUUUGGUUCGCCACCAUAAUUUUGCAUCUCCACCCAAAUACAUGGUGGCUGUGGUUACCUUUCUAGCUUCAUCUUCGAUCGAAGCUGCUAGAAAGUACUGUUCCGUAUCAAACAAGAAGUUUUCGACUUCUUUU